Neltuma alba is the source of this 1656-nucleotide non-coding RNA. Lineage: Eukaryota; Viridiplantae; Streptophyta; Magnoliopsida; Fabales; Fabaceae. The record is from RefSeq and is a predicted model, not a curated record.
GCGCUCUGCACUGUUCACUCGGCGUCCGUACAGUCCGUACGGUUUAUUACUUUCUGGCGUUCUGUUUCGUUUCUGGCGCAUCUCCGGCACGCUGUUUGUGCAAUUCAGUUCUGUUUGCAGCUCCCUGUGUAGCUGUUGGCCUUUUCACUGCCUUGGUAUUCAUUAGGUAAUCCAGGUAUCGUGCUUUGUAUUCCUGUGUAACACUCUUUCGCAUUCCCUUUGGUUAGUGCACUUCAUCUAUGGCGGAAAUUAAAUCUGUCUCGGAGCUUGUCCCAACUAUUACUAAAAUUACUGAUCACAAGUUGACUUGGGUAAAUUAUUUGGAUUGGAGUAAAACCAUUCGCCUCUAUCUGCGGAGCAUUGAGAAGGAAGACCAUCUGACUGAUGAUCCUCCAACAACUGAUUCCAAAAAGACCUGGUUGCGGGAUGAUGCACGGCUAUUUUUCCAGAUCCGUAAUUCCAUUGACAGUGAGAUUAUUCCCUCUAUUAAUCACUGUGAAUUGGUUAAGGAACUAAUGGAUUAUUUAGAUUUUUUGUAUUCAGGAAAAGGAAAUAUCUCUCGUGUUUACGAGGUCUGCAAAGCUUUCUAUCGUUCUGAAAAACAGGAUCGUCCUCUCAAAGCCUACUUUAUGGACUUUAAAAGGAUGUAUGAAGAACUGAAUGUGUUAAUGCCUCUUACUGCUGAUUUGAAGGUUCAGCAUAAGCAACGGGAGCAAAUGGCUAUUAUGAGCUUUCUUACUGGUCUCCCACCUGAGUACGACACAGUUCGGUCUCAAAUCUUAUCCGGAUCUGAAUUUCUGACCUUCAAGAUGUGUUUUCCAGAGUAAUGAGAGCUGAGAAUCUCUUGCCACCAGCUGCUAGUAUUCCUACAAGUGCCUUGCUCAGUAAGGGCACCUAUGAGACUCGUAGUCCUAUUGAUAACCGCGGGGGGCCUACCCGUGGUGGUUCGAAGCAAGGGGGAGCCCCUUCUGACUCCAGUGGGGUAGUGUGUUAUUACUGCAAAGAACCGGGGCAUACAAAACGCACAUGUCGAAAACUUCAGAAUAAACAGCAACGGAAUAACUCUGCCCACGUGGCUACACAAGCCAGUGACACAGUCACGAUUUCUGCUGCUGAGUAUGCCCAGUUAAAAUCUACUACACCGUCUGUGAGUGCCGCAGCUACAACAGGUAAUAAUGCUACUGCCCUUGCUUCUUCUUCCUCAAAGUGGAUCAUAGAUUCCGGGGCUACUGAUCAUAUGACAGGAUCUUUUGACGAGGCGGAUUAUUGGUAGAGGUUAUGAAUCUGGCGGGCACUAUAUACUGGAUGAUCGGGUGUCUCAUGCGGUAGCUUGCGCUAGCAGUCAUUCUCCCUUUGAAGUUCAUUGUCGAUUGGGUCAUUUGUCUUUAUCUUCUCUUAAGAAAGUUUAUCCUCAAUUUCAGCAUUUGUCGUCUUUAGAUUGUGAGUCAUGUCAGUUUGCCAAGCAUCAUCGUCUUCCUUUAGUGUCUCGUGUCAAUAAACGGGUUUCAUCCCCUUUUGAGUUAGUCCAUUCUGAUGUUUGGGGUCCUUGUCCUGUAGAGUCCAAAGCAGGGUUUAAAUACUUUGUUACAUUUGUUGAUGAUUAUUCCCGGACAACUUGGUUAUAUUUAAUGAAACAUCGUUCUGAAUUGUUUUCCC